CCUACGUGAGGCAGCAGUGAGGAAUAUUGGUCAAUGGGCGCGAGCCUGAACCAGCCAAGUAGCGUGAAGGAUGACUGCCCUACGGGUUGUAAACUUCUUUUAUAAAGGAAUAAAGUGAGGCACGUGUGCCUUUUUGUAUGUACUUUAUGAAUAAGGAUGGGCUAACUCCGUGCCAGCAGCCGCGGUAAUACGGAGGAUCCGAGCGUUAUCCGGAUUUAUUGGGUGUAAAGGGAGCGUAGAUGGGUUGUUAAGUCAGUUGUGAAAGUUUGCGGCUCAACCGUAAAAUUGCAAUUGAUACUGGCAGUCUUGAGUACAGUUGAGGUAGGCGGAAUUCGUGGUGUAGCGGUGAAAUGCUUAGAUAUCACGAAGAACUCCGAUUGCGAAGGCAGCUUACUAAACUGCCACUGACAUUGAUGCUCGAAAGUGUGGGUAUCAAACAGGAUUAGAUACCCUUGUAGUC
RNAcentral lists this ribosomal RNA (460 nucleotides) under uncultured bacterium. Its description in RNAcentral is "partial 16S ribosomal RNA". It matches the Rfam family "Bacterial small subunit ribosomal RNA", at positions 338 to 795 of the family's 1533-position model. The record is from RNAcentral.